AUGAACUAGCUACUGAAUCACUAAUUGAUCUUAUCAAUGUGAUAUAGUAAGGGAAAACAAAUGAUAUUACUUUACUUAUAGUGUUGUCUAAUUCUGGUGCCAGAAGACUCGGUAAUACCAGUAACGCGAACGUUAGUCAUCUUUAUCAGGCGUAAAGGGUUUGUAGGCAGCUUUUAAAAAAAAUUCUUAACUAUAUUGUCCUUUUUUAUUCUUUUUUUUAUUAUUCUUUAUUUUAUAAUAUAAAAUAAAGACAAAAAAAAAGACAAAAAAGGAAUAAAUAGUGAAGUCUCUAAUUUGAGAGCUAGAAUCAAAUAGAAGUUAAAAAGUAUAAUACUUAGAGAAGGGUUGAUAUUCUUAGAACCUAAGGGGAAUACUAAAGGUGUAAACAACUAACUAUAAAUGAUUGACGCUGAGACACGAAGGUGAGGAUAGGAAAUAGGAUUAGAUACCCCGGUACCCCUCUCUGUAAACGAUGAAUGGUAGUUAUUAGUGUAUUACUGGUAACGAAGCUAACGCGUUAACCAUUCCGCCUUGGGAGUACGAUUGCAAAGUUGAAAACAAAAAAAUUAGUCGGUCUCGGAGCAAACGGAGUGAAGCAUGUUAUUUAAUUCAUAACCCCGAAAGGGAGG
RNAcentral lists this ribosomal RNA (629 nucleotides) under Fomitopsis hengduanensis. RNAcentral's name for it is "partial small subunit ribosomal RNA". It matches the Rfam family "Bacterial small subunit ribosomal RNA", at positions 408 to 966 of the family's 1533-position model. Lineage: Eukaryota; Fungi; Basidiomycota; Agaricomycetes; Polyporales; Fomitopsidaceae. The record is from RNAcentral.